CGUAGGAGGCGAGCGUUAUCCGGAUUCACUGGGCGUAAAGCGCGUGCAGGUGGUUCGGUAAGUUGGGCGUGAAAUCUCCCGGCUCAACUGGGAGAGGUCGUUCAAUACUACCGAACUUGAGAGCAGAAGAGGAAGAUGGAAUUCCCGGAGUAGUGGUGAAAUGCGUAGAUAUCGGGAGGAACACCAGUGGCGAAGGCGAUCUUCUGGUCUGUUUCUGACACUCAGACGCGACAGCUAGGGUAGUAAACGGGAUUAGAGACCCCGGUAAUCCUAGCCGUAAACGAUGUGAACUUGGCGUUGGUGGGUUAAACUCCAUCAGUGCCGUAGCAAACGCGAUAAGUUCACCGCCUGGGGACUACGGCCGCAAGGUUA
RNAcentral lists this ribosomal RNA (372 nucleotides) under uncultured organism. RNAcentral describes it as "bacterial SSU rRNA". It matches the Rfam family "Bacterial small subunit ribosomal RNA", at positions 526 to 896 of the family's 1533-position model. The record is from RNAcentral.